This 76-nucleotide transfer RNA is filed under the name Gymnothorax pictus. Its description in RNAcentral is "tRNA-Leu". It matches the Rfam family "tRNA". From Rfam's summary of the family: Transfer RNA (tRNA) molecules are approximately 80 nucleotides in length. Their secondary structure includes four short double-helical elements and three loops (D, anti-codon, and T loops). The record is from RNAcentral. Lineage: Eukaryota; Metazoa; Chordata; Actinopteri; Anguilliformes; Muraenidae.
GCUAAGGUGGCAGAGCCUGGUAAUUGCAAAAGGCCUAAGCCCUUUCUCUCGGAGGUUCAAAUCCUCCCCUUCAGCU